AGCAGGGAGCUGUGCUGCCAGGGCCCUGACAGGCUCUAUGUUCCCAGGGAUGGCCCGGAUGUUCAUGAACAAGGGCGCACAAGGAAGAGCUGCAGACCCUCAGUGAGGCCACUGAAGCCCCGACAAAGACACCACUCCAUCCCACAGGAAUCUGAAUAUGCAAGCUUAGUUUGCCAGUGAACAAGUGUCCCAAGAACAGCAGCAGGAGACACUGAAGAGGACACCACCUCCCAGUGCCACUGGAGAUCCAGGCACAGCUGACAACUGGCACAGCUGAGCCUGUGGGAUUUUCACGGGGCUUCAGCCCUCUCCCAGCCUGUAGAUAGCUCCCUCCAGCCCUCAGACUGUGCCCAUCCCCUUUUUUCCCUCUAUUCUUCCUCCCUUUUGACAGCUCCUUACCUCCAGCCCUCAGUCCAUGCCCAUCCCCUUCUUUCCCUUUCCAGCUCAUCCCUUUGCUUCACCUUGCAUUAAUAAACAGUUUGCCUUUUUCACUUAA
This is a non-coding RNA of Cyanistes caeruleus (blue tit), 496 nucleotides long. The record is from RefSeq and is a predicted model, not a curated record. Lineage: Eukaryota; Metazoa; Chordata; Aves; Passeriformes; Paridae.